GACGAACGCUGGCGGCGUGCCUAAUACAUGCAAGUAGAACGCACAGUUUAUACCGUAGCUUGCUACACCAUAGACUGUGAGUUGCGAACGGGUGAGUAACGCGUAGGUAACCUGCCUGGUAGCGGGGGAUAACUAUUGGAAACGAUAGCUAAUACCGCAUAAUAUUAAUUAUUGCAUGAUAAUUAAUUGAAGGGUGCAAUUGCACCACUACCAGAUGGACCUGCGUUGUAUUAGCUAGUAGGUGAGGUAACGGCUCACCUAGGCGACGAUACAUAGCCGACCUGGGAGGGUGAUCGGCCACACUGGGACUGAGACACGGCCCAGACUCCUACGGGAGGCAGCAGUAGGGAAUCUUCGGCAAUGGACGAAAGUCUGACCGAGCAACGCCGCGUGAGUGAAGAAGGUUUUCGGAUCGUAAAGCUCUGUUGUAAGAGAAGAACGGGUGUGAGAGUGGAAAGUUCACACUGUGACGGUAUCUUACCAGAAAGGGACGGCUAACUACGUG
RNAcentral lists this ribosomal RNA (505 nucleotides) under uncultured bacterium. RNAcentral's name for it is "partial 16S ribosomal RNA". It matches the Rfam family "Bacterial small subunit ribosomal RNA", at positions 28 to 507 of the family's 1533-position model. The record is from RNAcentral.